CCUACGGGGGGCAGCAGUGGGGAAUAUUGCACAAUGGGGGAAACCCUGAUGCAGCGACGCCGCGUGAGUGAAGCAGUAACUCGUUAUGUUAAGCUCUAUCAGCCGGGAAGAAAAUGACGGUACCUGAGUACGAAGCCCCGGCUCACUACGUGCCAGCAGCCGCGGUUAUACGUAGGGGGCAAGCGUCAUCCGGAUUUACUGGGUGUAAAGGGAGCGUAGACGGCAGUGCAAGUCUGGAGUGAAAGGCGGGGGCUCAACCCCCGGACUGCUCUGGAAACUGUACGGCUGGAGUGCAGGAGAGGUAAGUGGAAUUCCUGGUGUAGCGGUGAAAUGCGUAGAUAUUAGGAGGAACACCAGUGGCGAAGGCGGCUUACUGGACUGUAACUGACGUUGAGGCUCGAAAGCGUGGGGAGCAAACAGGAUUAGAUACCCUAGUAGUC
Molecule: ribosomal RNA, 440 nt
Filed under: uncultured bacterium
Lineage: Bacteria
Description: partial 16S ribosomal RNA
Rfam family: Bacterial small subunit ribosomal RNA
Source: RNAcentral